UGUCAAGAUGGCGUCGCAAAGAAAAAUUCGAUAUGGAAGUUUGGAAUUAGUACUAAGAUAAUUCGCUGGUGAACUGGAGGUACAAACAUAAAACAAAUUUUGAGAAGCAAAGUCGAAUGGGGAGACCAUCAUAUAGAUUUUGGAUGAUAGCCGCUGCACACUGAGCCCAUCCCCAUCCCCCUUAUCACCUUAUAAUGGAUGAUGAAGAUGUAGCAAUUAUUUCGGCCGUGGUUCAACAGCAAAAUAUGCGAAUAGCCCGAUAGCAGCAACAGUUCUGGUGAUUUUAAUCAGUCAGCAGAACAGAUACGAUCUGCAAUCGCAAAAUAUUGUUUAGACCUUAAUGCAAAUUAUAAACUUAUUUAUUUUUAUAUCUCAGCACUUCCAAUAAAUCAUUCUGGAUUUUU
Molecule: long non-coding RNA, 404 nt
Organism: Drosophila pseudoobscura
Lineage: Eukaryota; Metazoa; Arthropoda; Insecta; Diptera; Drosophilidae
Exons: 3
Source: RefSeq, a predicted model, not a curated record